Molecule: unclassified non-coding RNA, 88 nt
Filed under: Pseudomonas rhodesiae
Lineage: Bacteria; Pseudomonadati; Pseudomonadota; Gammaproteobacteria; Pseudomonadales; Pseudomonadaceae
Source: RNAcentral
UGCGAGAGGGGGCUUGCCCCCGAUAGCGGUGUGUCAGUCAACAGUUGUCUAGCUGACCCACCACGUCGGGGGCAAGCCCCCUCCCACA